Molecule: unclassified non-coding RNA, 319 nt
Organism: Mustela putorius furo (domestic ferret)
Lineage: Eukaryota; Metazoa; Chordata; Mammalia; Carnivora; Mustelidae
Gene: 7SK
Rfam family: 7SK RNA
About the family: 7SK was discovered as an abundant small nuclear RNA in the mid-70s but a possible function has only recently been suggested. Two independent studies have found that 7SK RNA binds the CDK9/cyclin T complex (known as elongation factor P-TEFb). P-TEFb activates transcription by phosphorylating the C-terminal domain of RNA polymerase II.
Source: Ensembl
AGAGUUUAGGGCCAUGUGGCUGUGACAUCUGUCACCCCAUUGAUCGCCAGGGUUGAUUUGGCUGAUCUGGCUGGCUAGGCUGGUGGCCCCUUCCUCCAUCACCGCUCCAUAUGCAUCCCUCCUGCAGCUGCGCACUCAGUAGAAGUGAAGUCUUCCUUGACACAGGAGGACCAUUCUUUGAUCAAGGGUAGCUGUGCUCCCCUGCCAGAACUUCCGAACAGACUCUCAAGGUCCAUUUGUAGAAGAAUGUAGGGUAAUCAAACUUCUAAGACUCGAGACACAUCCAGAUGAGGCACUGCAUGUCACAGUCUGCCUUUCU